CAAGGAGACAGGUGGUGCAUGGUUGUCGUCAGCUCGUGUCGUGAGAUGUUGGGUUAAGUCCCGCAACGAGCGCAACCCCUGUCAUUAGUUGCCAUCAUUAAGUUGGGCACUCUAAUGAGACUGCCGGUGACAAACCGGAGGAAGGUGGGGAUGACGUCAAAUCAUCAUGCCCCUUAUGUCCUGGGCUACACACGUGCUACAAUGGUCUGUACAGAGGGCAGCGAAGUGGCGACACGGAGCGAAUCCCAGAAAGCAGAUCUCAGUUCGGAUUGCAGGCUGCAACUCGCCUGCAUGAAGUCGGAAUCGCUAGUAAUCGCAGGUCAGCAUACUGCGGUGAAUACGUUCCCGGGCCUUGUACACACCG
RNAcentral lists this ribosomal RNA (364 nucleotides) under uncultured bacterium. RNAcentral describes it as "bacterial SSU rRNA". It matches the Rfam family "Bacterial small subunit ribosomal RNA", at positions 1027 to 1392 of the family's 1533-position model. The record is from RNAcentral.